Panthera uncia (snow leopard) is the source of this 7035-nucleotide long non-coding RNA. RefSeq lists it as uncharacterized. NCBI's taxonomy places the organism in Eukaryota, Metazoa, Chordata, Mammalia, Carnivora, Felidae. The transcript is spliced from 3 exons. The record is from RefSeq and is a predicted model, not a curated record.
GUGAUAGGUUCGCGCCCCUGCGACCUCGGGGCCCUGGGCUGAGUGUGGGCGACGGGCCGGGGGCGACAGCCAGUGAUACUGUCAUUGAGUCGGUGGGUCAGGUUCAGCGGCCGCUUGCUGAGUGUCUAGUACGUGCGAGGCGCCCUUGGGGUGCAUGGUCAUUCUCCCGAGGGCUGUGAGUAGGUACUACGAUUGUCUUCAUUAUAUCGCGAGAAAGCAACAACAGAAAGGCUCGUAGCCUGUCCAGAGUCACACGGCUAGAAAACCCCGGGAGAUCCUUCUAGCACCUAUGCGUUUCUAACGAACGUUCCCGAAAUGUAUCAACUUUGUGCUUGCUGUGUGCCUGCCCUGCUAGAACACAGCUCCGCCGGGUCGGGGAACUCUGAUUACUUUGUUCACUGAUGUACCUGCAACACGUUGGACAGGCCCACAGUAGGCACUCAACUUUUUCACUGAAUGAAUCAAAGCGACAGAGCGGGCAAUCAGUUCGAGUCCACAGCUAGGACCCUUAUGGGAUGACGCAGUGCUUAGCUCCUUGUCUGGCGACAGUUAGGCUGCUACUAAGCGUUUACUCUUAACACUGAACCGAGGCCUUGCGGCUGCUUCCAUAAAGUAUUCCAUCUGGGUUUUCCUCACUUUCACUGCCUCAGAGAGGUUGCUCACUGCAUCUCCUGUGCGGUCAUUGUUUCCAGGGUCAGGGCGCAUCAGUGAGACCACUGCUCACCUCCUGCGGGCUCCGGCUCGGCCGCCCCUGGGCUUCCUAGUCUACAGAAGAGCCAGUCGAGGCCUCAGAAGAUGUCCGUGUGGAGUGCAUGCCUGCCUGUGGCACAGGACUUGGGUUCUCAUUUCCUAACUCAGGCAAGUUGAAGACCAGCUAGACCACCCCAGGGAAAGCCAAGACCAACCUGUGUGGCAGACUGCAUCCGCAGACAGGGAAGCACAGAAAGAUCCAAGCGGCCAAGAAUUCACAACAUUCAGAAAAAUCAUUUAUCCAAGCACAGACUUUGUUUCUAUAAGACAAAGAGUCUCUAAAUAUUACUCGUGGGGAAGGUGUUCAAAGUGUAAUUUAAACUUCUCUAUGUAAGUAAAGACUCUUUAGUUUUUUUUUUUAAUGUUUAUUUUUGAGACAGACAGAGUGCAAGUGGGGGAGGGGCAGAGAGAGAGGGAGACACAGAAUCUGAAACAGGCUCCAGGCUCUGAGCUGUCAACACAGAGCCUGAUGUGGGGCUCAAACCCACAAACCGCGAGAUCAUGACCUGAGCCGAAGUCAGACACUUAAGCAACUGAGCCACCCAGGCGCCCCAAGGCUCUUUAGUUUUAUAAAAAUAUUACAUUAAUGGAUUUUUCUGCUUUUUGGCAACAAUUUUAAGGAGGAUAAUGACAGUCCCACAUCCCCCAACUAAACAGCUAUCCUGAUGUUUUAUAGCUGAAGAAACCAUCAUAAGGAGUGUGUUUAUUUUCUUAAAGUUUUGAUUUAUUCAUUUUGAGAGAGAGAGAGAAUCCCAAGUAGGCUCUGUGCUGUCAGUGCAGAGCCUGAUGCGGAUCUCGAACCUACGAACUGCAAGAUCGUGACUUGAGCUGAAACCAAGAGUCAGACGCUCAACGACUGAGCCGUCCAGGUGCCCCAGGACUGUGUUUAGGACUCAGAGAUAGUAAGUGACAUAGCGAGCAUUAGCCAUCUCCUCUAACUGACAUUCAGUGCCCUUCAUCCCUCCAGACCUCACCCAGUGGAAGCAAGGUGAGGACAUCCUGCGUGGUUAUUUACUAUCUCCGUUUUGUGCUGGGUUGAAACGUUUAGGAGAAAGCAAAAAGCAGACUCGCAUUCCCACGUAUACUACAGUUGGUCUUGCCAGGCCAGCAGUCUUGCUGGAACGGCUAGGGGGGAGGGAGGGGAAACUGCAAAGAAAAAUGCCUUUGGGCAAUCGCAGAGCCGUGGUAACAACGAGGACUCGAGGAAUGAAAAUUCUAGAGAGUGAAGUGCCUUUUCCAGGUGAGCGGAUGAUCGCUGUCCGUUAUCUGGAGGCAUCUGCUGAAUCUGGGGGCAAGCGGAGGAUGGGGCUCGGCCCGGGGUUAAGGACUUUCAGGAGGGGCGGGUAGAGAUCCAGAAGAGCUUGUAGAGGUUAUAUAGGGCCAACUGGGAAACGAAAAGAGCUCCAGGAGCAUGACUGCCUUUGUCCAGGGGGUGCUUGCCGAGUUUGUGAUGGUGCAGGAGGUUAGCGGGCCCAGGCCAGAAACACAACGUGAGCCCUCUUGUGUCGCGUGCUUUGCAAACAGUCUGGACAGAGCACGAGGUCCGCACGAUCGUGGAGGAGGAGGCUGAAGAGCUCAGCUCAGUACCUAUGAAGGGGGAACUAAAUCUCCAGAAGUCUCACGUCUGAGGAGACAGAGAGCCAACAGGCUCUCUUGGGCAGAAGCGCAGCAGGGACAGCCUGAGGAACGGUGCUGGGGAGAGCUAGGUUAUCUUCACCCAGCAGUCUGACCCUGCUCUAUCGGAGGUGAUCGGUCCCAGGCCUCGUCUGCUGAAUGAGGAAAAGGCAAACCCAGGCACCUGUAACCUCCACGGUUUUUUAACAUACGCCGUCUGAUACAGAAGCUUACUAGACAUGAGAAAAGGCAGAGAGAUGCGGUUGUUGGGACAAAAUGAACAAUUGUGGUAGGCAUGCUUCUAAGGAUGACGCCCACGGACUCUCUUCCUUUUAUAAUCCGUGCCCCCCCCCCCCCAGCCCUUUGACUGGGUGAAACGUGUGAAUAUAAUGAUAGCUGUGGUUACGCUAUAUUCUAUGCCCAAAGGGGGAUUAUCUGGGUAGCCCUCAGCUUUUUUUUUUGUAUUUUUUUUAAAGUUUAUUUACUUUUGAGAGAGAAAGCGAGCGAGCAGGGGAGGAGCAGAGAGGGACAGAGAGGAUACCAAGCAGGCUGUGUACUGUCCGUGCAGAGACCGACACGGGGCUCAAACUCACGAACCGUGAGAUCGUGACUUGAGCCGAAACCGAGAGCCAGGACUUAACCGACCGAGCCACCCAGGUGCCCUGCCUCAUCUUUUCAUAGGAGCUUUUUAAAGGCCGUUUUGUCCAGCUGGGUGGCAAAAGAGGAAGUCAGAGAUUCGAAGGUGUGGAAGGGAUCCAACACGAGAGGGAUUCUCUGUUGCUGAUGUGGGGAAGGAUCCGUGAGCCUCAUCCAGGAUCUGAGAGCGGCAGCCAGCCAGAAAAUGAGGACCUCAGUCCUUCGGCCACAGGAACUGAAUUCGGCCAAUGACCUGAAUGAACUUAGAAGUAGAUGCUUCCCCACAGCCUCCAGCUAAGACCCAGCCCAGACUAUACCUUGAUUCCCACUUUGUGAGACAGAGAGUAGCCAAGCCCGCCAGGAUUUCUGACCUACAGAACUAUGUAAACGGGUGGUGUUCUAAGCCACUGUUUGUGGGAAUUUGUUUCAGCUGCAGUAGAGAACUAACACAAAAAAACCCACACGAGUUUGAUGCUGGAAUCCACAAAAGGCACUUUUCAGUAUCCAUUAAUAUAACAGAAAUAAAGGAAAAGACAAACGGGGUGAAAGUUGCUGGAAUCUCUAAAAAUGGGUAAAAUAUGUAUGCUAUAACUGAAAACAAAUACAGUAACCAAGAACUCCUUGUGUAUGGGUUUUAACAGUGGAUUAGACAUAGCAGAAGACGGGAUUCGUGACUUUGAGGACAACAAGCUUGUCCCAAAGCGAGGGGGCGAAAUGCAGAACACCAGAAGCAAACUUCGAGAGGCAUUUGGGAAACAGCCAAAAGGUAAAUAAAGCACGUAUGUUGAAAGAGAUCUAAGCCAGGGAGCCAAGAAGCUCUGCGAAUCCCAAGCAGGAGUGAUAAACUCCUACCAUUCCAUUUCCAGCCGUGAUGGAGGAGCCAGGACUAAACUUCUCCCCCCCCCCACAGUAAACAACUAGAUGGCACCGAUACGGUCCAUGAGGUUAGCAGUGUUCAUACAGUGGACAGAGGCCAUGCGGGAUUGUGAAGCUGAGAGUGCAAAGGUAAAUGAGGUGGGCCCCUCACUCUGGCUCUCUGCUGGGAGGCACUUAGCAAGAUGUGAUGUAGGGAGGGGGGGAUCCCAAGAAGAGUUCAGCGGUUCAUGGGGUGGAGAAAGAGAUCAGUGCUCAGGACAGCCGAGGCUACUAGAAAUGUCAGGGCACAGUACUACAAAGGAAGGCGUUCUCGACAAGACAGAGCGACAGAAACGGGGAGGCCCCCCUCCCCGAGAAGAAUUCACCCAAAUCUGCAGGGGUUGCAGAAAAAGCCUGGCAAGGAUUUGGUGCGUGUUUUGGCUUGGCUUCUGGCCUCAAGAGGCUAUUAAAAGUUCAGUCUAGGAAAUCCUUAUGAAAAGUUCCAACAAAGCAGAUUUAUUUUUUUCUUUUAUUUCUUUUUUUUUUCUAGAGCGUGAGCAGCGGAGGGACAGAGAGCAUCUUAAGCAGGUUCCACUCUCAGCGCAGAGACCAACCUGGAGCCUGACCCAGGGCUCAACCCCGCGACCCUGGGACCAUGAGCUGAGACGAAACCAAGAGUCGGACUCUCAACCGACUGAGCCACCCAGGUGCCCACCAACAAAGCAGAUUUAAAAGAACCUAUAUGGCCAGUCACUGUUCUUGCUGAGCUUAUGUAAAUAAUUAGGCCAAGUUGUUAAAACUGGACUUAGUUUGGGGCACCUGGGUGGCUCAGUCAUUUGAGUGUCCCGACUCUUGAUUUCGGCUCAGGUCACAAUCUCAUGGUUGGGGAGUUAGAGCCCUGCGUCGGGCUCUGUGCUGACCGUGUGGAGCCUGCUUGAGAUUCUCUGUCUCCCUCAUUCUCUCUCAUAAAAUAAAUAAACAAAAAUAAAACUAGACUUAUUUAAAAAAAAUUUUUUUAACGUUUAUUUAUUUUUGAGACAGAGACAGAGCAUGAACGGGGGAGGGUCAGAGAGAGGGAGACACAGAAUCUGAAACAGGCUCCAGGCUCUGAGUGGUCAGCACAGAGCCCGACGCGGGGCUCAAACUCACGGACUGUGAGAUUGUGACCUGAGCCGAAGUUGGCCGCUUAACCGACUGAGCCACCCAGGCGCCCCCAGACUUAUUUUACAAACAAAUGGUAACUUGCCUAUCUUUGGCAAAAAUUAGGGCGCUUAUAGAAGAAAAACAUGUUUCAAUGACCUACCUGAGUAACUGUUAGGGUCUAAUACUGUUUAUUAUAAACUGGACUAGAGCCUGAUUUCUUCUGGUGCCUGACUACAACUCUCCAAACGCACAUUUCUUUAAUUUGGAUUCACUUGAAGACUAAAGCUGCCCCUUUUUCCUGAAGCCCUGCAAACUAAGUACGAACGACAUGAUGUAAACUUCCAAGAAAUCACCACCACAGCUCACGUGGAGGCAGUGUUCAUGCCCGUUGCUGUGUGAGCCAUUCAAAGAUGUCGAGAUAUUUGAACUGCAAACCAGGAGGGCCCGUCGGACUGCCACCACUGCCCCUGCUGUAUCUGAAGGAGCUUCGAGCCCGACAUCUCGAAAUCUUCUCUACUGGCCAUCCUCAGGACUCAGAGACUGAUUUAUAUUACGAUCUAAUCAUCGGCCAUGGGUGGUUCUUUGGUUUCCAUAGAAGGGCCUCGUGUUUGGGGCGCCUGGGUGGCUCAGUUGGUGGAAUAGGUCACUCUUGAUUUCGGGGUUAUGGGUUCAAGCCCCAAGCCUGGUGUACAGAUUAUUUAAAAAUUUUCCAAAAAAUAAAAAGACACCUACAAAAACCCACAGCCAACAUCACACUAAAUGGCAAAAGCCUAAACACACCCUCGAGCUCAUUAAGUUUUCCUUGUCUAUACAGACUCUGCUGAUAAGCCUGGCAUCUCCAGGAAUAAAACUGAUGGGCAGUCAGUAGGGCAGCUGUUCAACAGGAUGAUCAGAAAAGGGCAACAUUCAAAGAGCAGGAGUCUGGGGGCAAUUGCUUCAUCAAACAGUAAGGGUCCCAGGGUGCCUGGGUGGCUCAGUCGGUUGAGCGUCUGACUUCUGCUCAGGUCAUGAUCUCACGGUUUAUGAGUUCGGGCCCCGUGUCGGGCUCUGCGCUGACAGCUCAGAGCCUGGAGCCUGCUUCCGAUUCUGUGUCUCCUUCUCUCUCUCUUGGCCCUUCCCCUGCUCUCUCUCUCUCUCUCAAAAAUAAAUAAACAUUAACAAAAAAAAUUAAAAACAAAAGUAAGGGUCCCUUGCUCAGUUCCCAGAUCUGAGCCAAAUUUUAGAUCUGGAACCAAUGGUCUGGAGAGGAGCCCAUGACCCUCAAAGGAAGGAUCCUACAGCAUUGUAGCAGGGGUAGAUUAUAAUGCUUAUCCUAGCCCCCCGCCCCCAUUCCUGAACCUAUGGCCAUUUAUUGGGGCGACCGCGCACUGACCAGAUGUUUUUAGGACUAUUAGACAUGGCUUUUUGGGUUCACUUUAAUACCCGGACACUCCAAGCAUCAUCAUGGCCCUCCGAUUAGAGGGGGUGCGGGGGCUGAGUCCCGGCUAAGUCUGACUCACAGCGGCCCACUGCACCUUGGUCAUUGGAUGAAUGUCCCUGUUGGGUCCCUGGCCUGUGCGGUAAGAUCCUGCACUCCUAUUGGUCCUCAUCAUAGUUCUGUUUAACCCGUCAUCCUGGCCCUUGCAGAAACCAGCUGGAACAGGGGGAUGAUGAGGUUAAACUGCCGCAAGCUCAACCACACAAAAUUCCACUUCACAAAAGGAGGUCACGUAGUCCACACCUAGAGAUGCUUCCCCGGCCCGUGCACCAGGUGACAGAAGGCUGCCAGCCUUGAGCGGGGCCCAGGGCAGGAAAGCGCAGGCUGUAGCGCAAGCAGCCUUGUCGCUUGGACCAUAUGAGGUGGCUGACCCUAUGGUUGUCAUGAGCGUCAGUGGUGGGAAAGGCUGCCCCGGGAGAAUCAGGUCCCUGUGAGUCUGGUGCGAGGCCAUGGGAUCUGCAGUUGAGAAUACCACUUUGGAGAAACCACUGCUGGGCCCUGGUAGGGACCAGAAACGCCAUUUCAUCACACUGCUCCAGACCAUUUACUGAAUGACACAA